AGACAGCAGUCGCCGCGGUAAUACGAAGGGGGCUAGCGUUGCUCGGAAUCACUGGGCGUAAAGGGUGCGUAGGCGGGUCUUUAAGUCAGGGGUGAAAUCCUGGAGCUCAACUCCAGAACUGCCUUUGAUACUGAAGAUCUUGAGUUCGGGAGAGGUGAGUGGAACUGCGAGUGUAGAGGUGAAAUUCGUAGAUAUUCGCAAGAACACCAGUGGCGAAGGCGGCUCACUGGCCCGAUACUGACGCUGAGGCACGAAAGCGUGGGGAGCAAACAGGAUUAGAUACCCGGGUAGUCCCUGUCUCUUAUAC
This 307-nucleotide ribosomal RNA is filed under the name uncultured bacterium. Its description in RNAcentral is "partial 16S ribosomal RNA". It matches the Rfam family "Bacterial small subunit ribosomal RNA", at positions 506 to 807 of the family's 1533-position model. The record is from RNAcentral.